This 356-nucleotide transfer-messenger RNA is filed under the name Patescibacteria group. RNAcentral's name for it is "GWA1-39-11 sp001782235 Standard tmRNA". It matches the Rfam family "transfer-messenger RNA". From Rfam's summary of the family: Bacterial tmRNA, also known as 10Sa RNA or SsrA, is named for its dual tRNA and mRNA-like properties. Its role is to liberate the mRNA from a stalled ribosome. RNAcentral also lists the same sequence under 6 other names. The record is from RNAcentral.
GGGGAUGCAUUGCAUCGACAGAAUUGCUCUUUAAAAACUGCAAGCCGAUAAUGAUACUAAUCGUAAAAAUGUAUCAAAAAUAAAUGCUAACAGAAAUGUUAGUCCGGCCUACAGCUACGCAGUAGCUUAAACUGGUGUUCAUAUCUAGAUUUUUCCAAACGAUCAGAUAUGGGCAUAAACAAAGUUUGGAUAUAGACAAAGUUCCGAUUUAGAUUUUGUUCGAACAAUUUAAAUCUUAGUCAUGUUCAAUCCUUUCAAUUGGAGUUUGCAUGAUGACAAUAAAUAAUUGAAUAAGCUUGUAGAUGUUUUUAUAGAUGCUUUUUUGGACGGGGGCUCAAAGCCCCCCAUCUCCACCG